GGUGGCUCAGUGGUAGGGUACUUGCUUUGCAUGCACGAGGCCCUGGGUUCAAAUCCUCAGCACCA
This 65-nucleotide transfer RNA is filed under the name Dipodomys ordii (Ord's kangaroo rat). It matches the Rfam family "tRNA". Rfam says of the family: Transfer RNA (tRNA) molecules are approximately 80 nucleotides in length. Their secondary structure includes four short double-helical elements and three loops (D, anti-codon, and T loops). Lineage: Eukaryota; Metazoa; Chordata; Mammalia; Rodentia; Heteromyidae. The record is from Rfam by way of RNAcentral.